GCCCAGACUCCUACGGGAGGCAGCAGUGGGGGAUAUUGCACAAUGGGGGGAACCCUGAUGCAGCGACGCCGCGUGGGUGAGGAAGUACCCCGGUAUGUAAAGCCCUUUCGGCAGGGAAGAAAAUGACGGUACCUGGCGAAGAAGCCCCGGCUAACUACGUGCCAGCAGCCGCGGUAAUACGUAGGGGGCGAGCGUUAUCCGGAAUUACUGGGUGUAAAGGGAGCGUAGACGGCGAGGUAAGCCUGAAGUGGAAGCCCGCGGCCCAACCGCGGAACUGCUUUGGGAACUGUUUUGCUGGAGUAUGGGAGGGGUAAGCGGAAUUCCUGGUGUAGCGGUGAAAUGCGUAGAUAUCAGGAGGAACACCGGUGGCGAAGGCGGCUUACUGGACCAUAACUGACGUUGAGGCUCGAAAGCGUGGGGAGCGAACAGGAUUAGAUACCCUCGUAA
RNAcentral lists this ribosomal RNA (447 nucleotides) under uncultured bacterium. RNAcentral's name for it is "bacterial SSU rRNA". It matches the Rfam family "Bacterial small subunit ribosomal RNA", at positions 329 to 793 of the family's 1533-position model. The record is from RNAcentral.